UUGAAAGGGUGCCUUAGGUUUGAGUUAAUUGAACCUUUGCCUUCCCUUUCUUCAACUGUGACUCCCGAACCCAUUUUCUCUUGUUUUUCAAAGACCUGGAGUUGUCAAAAAGGGUUUUGAUUUAUUUGAUUUUUGUCAAAAAUAUUUUUUGGGUGACUUGGUAUACCAAAACUCCAUACCAAGUGGCGACUCCUAUUUUUUCUUAAAAACCCUUUUAGACUAAAUUUUGGACCCAAAUUGUCGCAUUCUUUUUAAGUCCCAUUAUAGGUCCUUUUUCAUUUAUUAUUAAUAAAUCACAUCUUUUAAACUAACACUUUCCUUUUCCAUCGCGAAAAAUGGGACGCGACAACUUGGCGACUCUACUGGGGACGCUAGAGAGUCCAAGCACUUGGUUUAGUUGUAUUUUCUCUUUGUAGCCCUUUUAUUUAUCAUAUUUGGAUGUUUUAGGUUGCAUUUUUCUUUUUUAGAAUGUUUUGCAUUUCACCCUCGUAUUCGUUCCUCGUAUUUCAUGUAUGUGAUGAAUGGUUUAUUUAUUUACUUAUUCGUAUCGCGCUUUGCAUUUGGGAUGGGGAUAUUACCCUAGAGCCCCACAUUGGUUCUCGAUCCCUCCCCUCCAAACCGAGCACUAGCAUACGUGCAUACGUUUUAUUUUUUAUCCCUCAUUUUUUUCUUUUAGUGGCUUGUCACGCCACUCUUCCCUGUUAGGAUUAGGCGACCCACUUGGACGUGUGAUCGCGACACGACGUGUGCGUAGCAUGAUCCAAGGGGUCACUCAAUCUUCCAUUUUAAGCUUUGGGUUGAUAGCCUUUAGCUUUUAAUCGAAGAUUGAGGAUUUUGAUAGAUUCACUUGGACAUGUGGCCGUGGCACGACGUGCACGUAGCAAUGUCUGGGGAAUCGCUCGAGCCACCGACAAAGAAUCUUGGGAUUGGUGACCUUUGGUUUUCAAGUCUGAAGGCUCGGGGAACUAAAACCUAUCGAAUCUAGAUGCAUUAGUGAGCCGAUACCUUAUGCAUCCAUGAUAAUUUACCUAAGGUAGAGUCUGCCUUACCCUAUUAGGGACACUAUUCACGAGGGGAGGGAUCCAACCCCUCGUUUCCUUUUAUUACUUUCUCUUUGUAUUGUUUUGCUAUAAUGUGUUAUGUGUAUUUAUCUAAUUGAACUAAUUUUUUUGGUUUUUGUCUCCAUUGCAUUCAUAAGCCCUAGAAAAUA
Molecule: long non-coding RNA, 1210 nt
Filed under: Coffea arabica (coffee)
Lineage: Eukaryota; Viridiplantae; Streptophyta; Magnoliopsida; Gentianales; Rubiaceae
Description: long non-coding RNA (CARA_LNC008422)
Source: RNAcentral